Molecule: ribosomal RNA, 439 nt
Filed under: uncultured bacterium
Lineage: Bacteria
Description: partial 16S ribosomal RNA
Rfam family: Bacterial small subunit ribosomal RNA
Source: RNAcentral
GCUACGGGAGGCAGCAGUGAGGGAUAUUGGUCAAUGGGGGAAACCCUGAACCAGCAACGCCGCGUGAGGGAAGACGGUUUUCGGAUUGUAAACCUCUGUCCUCUGUGCAGAUAAUGACGGUAGCAGAGGAGGAAGCUCCGGCUAACUACGUGCCAGCAGCCACGGUCAUAGGUAGGGAGCAAGGGUUGUCCGGUUUUAUUGGGUUAAAAGGGUUGUUAGGCGGGCUUUUAAGUCAGCGGUAAAAAUUCGGGGCUAAACCCCGUCCGGCCGUUGAAACGGGGGGCCUUGAGUGGGCGAGAAGAAGGCGGAAGGCGUGGUGGAGCGGUGAAAUGCAUAGAUAUCACGCAGAACCCCGAUUGCGAAGGCAGCCUUCCGGCGCCCUACUGACGCUGAGGCACGAAAGUGCGGGGAUCGAACAGGAUUAGAUACCCCUGUAGUC